CUGUGCAAUAAUAAUGAGUUCUUGUGCAGUAGUAACAAGCUACUGCAUGGUCAGCAUCUUGUGUAGACACAGCCACUGUGUAUAACAAGUAGAGCUGGAAAAUGAGCCUUGAGGGCCCCCAGAAUAACCAGACACUCCAAUUUUGUACUGAAUACUUGAUUUUCUCUCUCAUUUCAUUUUCAUCUCUGAAUGUAUGUAGUCUGUGUCUACUAAGCUUAUUGAUCUGUUCAAGUGCAAAUCCAACAGAAACUUUGAAACAUCACAGAUUGCCACAAAUGGACAGGCUGGAUUUAGUUAUGUAAGUACAACUUAGUUCAGAUGUCCUUCCCUCAGUUGUUCAAGAGCUUUUGGAGUUCCACUGUCCAAAAUUAUCUUUCCUUAUCUGGUACAACUGGGUAUACAAAUCUGUAGAAUCUGUAGAAGCCUACAAACUGCUGUACCUUCUUUUGGUUUGCUGAACUUUCCAGUCUCUUAUAAGGUUAGGUACCUGGGGCUGAUGUUCCAACCUAUCUCACAAUAGUCCCAAAUUCUAUAACCAUUUCUGCACCUAAAUAGCAUUUACCGAGCUACAUCAGUGCCGUUUUUGGCACUUAUGCACAGUUCCUGAUUCUUUUACCUGUGCAGUAUGGAUAUAGAAGCAUCUGCACAGCUACUGUGCAUGCUCAGCAGACUACAUGCUGGCCUAGUAGGUAUGUGGCUGCAUAUAUGUGUACGCUGGGCAUGCAUAAAACACAACAAUCUGCCGAGAAAAAGCCCAUGGCCUGUUCCAUGUUUUAGUCCCAAUAAUUGAGUAGUUAGGGCUUAUAUCUGGGAAGCAGAAGACUGGGGGUGGGGGAAGUGUACUGGUGGGGGGAGUUGAACAGAAUCUCUCUGACUUCCCAGUAUAGUGCUUAAACUAUUAGACCAUAGAUUAGGCAUUAUUCAUGCCCUUCUUGAGCCCUCCUUAAGAAGCUGACCCCUGGCCAGCCAAGAGAGGGAAAUGUUAGACUUGGAGGAAGCAAAGAUGUUAGAGAAUGUGUGGUUUAGUGAGGUGGCUAUGGAACGGUGACAUUUGGAGUCUUGCUCCCAUAGAGGCGGAAACAUCCUAACCAUUCUCCAUCCUUUUUAUUCAGUGACUGUUAUAUGCAAGUUGAAGCAGCUGGCCACUGCUAACCUGUUAAAGCACUCUGCUGGGAAGCCUGAGAGCAUGAAUGGCACCUGCCCCGGUGGCUGGUGGGGCACGGUUGUGCCGGCGGCAGCCCAGCGGUGGGAAUCAGGGAGCUUCCACAGAUGCUGCUGGCGCUGUUGGCAGGGGGGGGUGGUGGUGCGCAGGCGUGAUCAGGGACCGCCCACAGAUGCUGCCGGCAGUGCCGGCGGUGGGGUGGCAAGCGGUGACUGACCACGGCACCUUUUUGCAGGGAGUGCACCACCACACGUAGGGGCUGCACGUGCACCCGUGUGCACCCCCUAUGCAUUGCUUCUGCCUGUGAGAUACAGAUUCAAAUGCCCUCUGGGUAGGUGGGGCCUAGAAUAUGCAUCUCCUGAUUCUUAGACAAGUAUCCUAACUACUCAGUUGGCAGGAUUAAAACAGAAGGAGAUCCUUCUUUUGUUUGUCUCCAGGAUUCAUGCCUAGUUAUAUGUGUAGAUAGGCAUGUAGGUGUCUGGAUAAUGCAUAGCCUCCUGAGCAUGCUUAGGAUGCAUAUAGACACUUACCUGCAUGGGUAAUAGAAUUGCAACCUGGGUAUAAGUGCCAUUUAGGCACAUAAAACAUAAUAGAAUUCUGCCUUGUGUGUUCCAGGAAGGUGAGGGAAUUCCUUACAACUGGGGAAAUGUCAAGUUUAAACUUUGGUUCCUUCAACAGCUUUACAGUCUCUUCCAUUCCUCCCAUCUGCUCCUGACACAUUUUAUGGAAAUAAAUGAAGCAUGAACAGCACAUGCCCCCAGUGGCUGGGGGGGGCAGGGCGGCGACGGGAAUAUGGCAGCGUCUUUCAGAAUACUUAAUCUGCCCUCACAACAGCUAUUUAGUAUUUGUGGAAAUAUCUCAAGCCCUAGGAUCUGCACUGGAAGCUUUGGCAUCACCAUCCAAAAGCCGUGCAAGAUACUGGGCUGCAUUCUGAUCAGUCUGCAUGUUCACAGCGAGUGAGAUCUUGGAGUGACGUGCUCAUCAAGCCUUGCUUCAGUUCCAUGGAACAAGCCACCUAUCUCAGCUAUGUUACUUACAAAUAUGAGAGGAACAGGAUACUGAACUAGGACGGCCCAUUCAUCUUUUCUGGCAUGAUGAUUCCUACAUUCCCAAGUGGAAGUGCUGUGGCUAAUAUAUCCAAGCCUGCCUUACAUAUCUACAGGAACAAGAUUACAACUCAGAAUACAGACCCUAAGAUAUUACUGACCUUAUACACUUCAUCCUCUCACACAACAAUUUCACUUUUAAUAAUCAAC
Alligator sinensis (Chinese alligator) is the source of this 2418-nucleotide long non-coding RNA. RefSeq lists it as uncharacterized. Lineage: Eukaryota; Metazoa; Chordata; Crocodylia; Alligatoridae. The transcript has 3 exons. The record is from RefSeq and is a predicted model, not a curated record.